CCGCACGCAGCCCGGAGCUCUGACCGCCCGCUGUGCUGUGAGGAAGCACCGGCCGGAACUCUCGCGUUUAACUCUUAACACGGGCCCGCAGCCGCGACAAAAGUUCCGAGCGGCUGUUCCGAGCGGCGCGGAGCACCCGCGGGCGGUUGGGCUGCCGUCAGCGGUUCGCAGCCCGGGCUUAGGAGCGCUGUUCUCAGCCGUCGUUCGAGCGGGGGAAGCGAGCUCUUAUCCCAACCGCUCGAAUGCGACGCGACGGCAGCGCCCUCCUCACGGGUGUCCGCCGCCGGCAGCCCUCGGGUCGGCCGCGGCACGGAGACUUCACCCAUCAGCCCUCGGUUCACUGCACGGACCGAAAGCUUCGAACGGCUCCGUAGCGGCUCGCGGCUAUUUUCCCCAUUACAAACGAAACGCUCCGUUCGAAGCUCUCGCUCCCGAAGCGCCUUUUCCCUCCUAACGGCCGGGCGGUAACGCCUGGCUCCUGAGCCGAAGACCCGACGCGGUUAUCUCUGCAGCACGAAGCGAUCGGGAACGCCUCUCGGUCCCUUCUCGGAGCCAAGCGGCGGAGACGCGGCCACCGCCGAGCCCCGACGGGGCGCGGAGCUCCGUGCUGCUGGCUGAGCUCCCGGCGGGUUAAGCCGCCGCCGCAGCCGGGCGAGGUGUCGACGGUUGGCGUUGUCGAUACGCUGCCCACCCGACCGCGGGUCAAUUGGCAUUUGCCUGCCUUUGACCUGGCGCUUCUGACGCGCGCACAUUGAAGGGCGCGAUCUUUCCCUCUGUUGUAAGGGAUAGAAAACGAGCGGAUGCGCUGUGGCUGAACAAGACAUUCCAGAAUACAGCUCUGUAUCCCGCCGAGAGAGACCCUGAAAUAUUCGGGGUGAGGGCAUCUCCCCCGCUGUAUCCCCGUUCGGCCCCUGCGGGGUCCCUCUCUGGAGCACCCUUCGCCCAACCCGAGCAUCCCCCCGCGCCUCUCUCUGCUCCCGGGCAGCCACGCUUUGGAAGCUGCUUUAUUUCAAAGGCAGCUUUAAAGCGAGUUUCGAGGAAGCCGCCUCCUUUCCUCCUAAUUUUGAUUUGAGCUUCACAACGGGGUGGCGAGCGAAGGAGAUAAACAGUAGGUGAAGAACGGUGGUGAGCCCGAUAGCGAUCUGCACCUAAUCGUUCCGACUGCGUGCGCGGCUGACUCAGCGCCUCGUUGCUCUGUGCUUAGAGAGCCGCAGCGCGUUUACACGGCUUUGUUUGUGCUCCCCGGCGUUUCCACACGCCGACUUGGAAGCUGGCGUUUUAGGUAGCAGCCACCGAUUCCGCAUCGCUUUCAGCCGUCCAAAGUUGCCGGGCGCGCCGCUUGUCUCAGUGACACCGGCACGAUCGCUGCUCCCACCCCGUGCGGAGCCACUGAGACCCUCUUACAACGUGGAGCACACCUGGAGUUAAGAGAGUUUUAAGCCUGUCCUUAUCGCGCACGGCGCGCUGCGUUCACCCAUUUGCUCUCAGACAGCGCUUUUGAACGCUCGGUAUUCUUAUUUUUCAAUGACAUUCGCUUAUUAUUAGAGCAGCUGGUAGCCCCAGUGAAGUGCCUGGCAAAGGGCUCCAUCGUAAAACACUGCUUUCUAAGUUUAUAGUUUCUAAUUUGGCUGUGAAAGUGUGAUUCUGGCUGCAAUUUGGCACUCAAGUGCUCAGCUGGAGUGUAAACUUCUCAUAAUAAAAACACUGGUUUAGUGGGUUUGCUGUUUUAAGUUAUAAGAGAUUUAACGAAGUUUUGACUAGUUUUGGAAGCCCAGAGAGGUCUUUCUAUUUAAAUUAGUAAACGUUAUGAUUUUGGUAAGGGUAGGGUACGUUCUGCGCCUUUUUUUUUUUUUAUGAUAAUAAUAAUAAUAAUUAUUAUUAUUAUUGUGAUUUAAUGUGCAAUUAUUUUUAAGGCAAGCUAAUGCUUCAGGUCUUUAUCUCUGUGCUUUCAGAUCCCGAAAUUGCUCCUGCAGGAACACCAGAGGCAGGACUUGCACAGCAGCUGCUGGCAGCUCUGGGCAGAGGGUGCUGAUGGGGUCUCGACUACUUCCAGCCAUAAAGAAAAGUUCACAACGCAGCCCAUCUCGACUUGCAAAGAGACAAAUUCGCAGAGAUGAUGCAGCCUGGGAACGCUGAUAAGAACAGCAGACAAAGAUGUCAUUGAGUUAAAAAAAGAGUUGGGGUGGUUCCUUGCUAGGACCUGAACACCAAAUGACUAUUGCCUAGGAUCCAAAGGGGAGACUUAAGCUUGCUGCAGAAUUCCUGGUCAGACUUGGAUGGUCCAGAACUGGCAGCCAAAUGCCUCUUGAGCACAAAGCCGAUCAGGACGUGUAAGCUUCCCUCCCUUCUCUCAAGUGCCAAAAUCAGAGUGGAUGGAGACUGCUGACUGCCUCGGGUCCAGGCUUUCCUGCUGGAGAAGUUGCCUCUAGCUUUUAUUCAAGAGAAUUCAUUUUGUCCAAACGAGUGAACCUUCACAUCGCUCCCAUCUCUGUCUUGUACAGGCUUUAUGGUGUGGUUCAAUAGCUCACGGUUAGGAAAGAAGAAGGUGUCUUCCCAUUCUACAGGAUUCUUCUACAAGCUCUUCAAAUGUCACUCGGCAAAGAUCAGGAAUCCUUCACUGACGUCCCCACAGUCUGGGCUGCUCUCACUCACCCACAUUCUGCCCCUUUCUGUUGUCCCGUGGAUGGCUAAGAAGCGGGGGCUGAGUGCCCUCUAAUCCAGUGGUUAAGGGCCUCACUGUGGAACGAUAAAUCAGAUUGUACGUUCUUGCAGUAGGUCGUGAAGCUUUUUAACCAGGAGAUCUUUUCAGAGGCGGAGAGAUCUCUAAAGAUUUUUACGUUUAAAUUCAAUUUCAGUUUUAAACUGCCCCCGAGUUUGUCUUCACGUUUCACUUCUUCAGGCUGUCCAGCAGGCAUAGAUGAUGAUUAUUAUUUUUUUUUGCCCUGGAAUAAAAACAUUUUAAUGACCAGUUUUGUUCAGGGAUGAUUCAUACUCUUAAACCACCCAAGGUUGUUCUCUUAGUCACGGGUGUUAGACAGGUCCCAAAAAAUCCAUGCCAUUUUGAAGACAAGGUCUUCGAUUUCACUGGAUAAGAUUGUGGUUUGGAUACCUCUGGCAGGCACUUCAGGAUACCUAAGUGUGCACAAGGAGACUAAAAAGACGAGUUAAGUGUUUAGGCUGUUCCCUUCUGAAGAAAAGCAAAGUGUGCUUCAGGAAUGAGCUUUCCUACCUCUGGACAGUGACAGAACACUUCUGCUCCUACAUGAUGAGUGUUCUGCUGGGAAAGGAGUCCCUCCACUUUGUGGUUGCUCUGCUGUAAACUCAGGUUCCUAGAGGUGAAGAGUCAUUGCUCUGACACAAUAUCCCAG
Molecule: long non-coding RNA, 3368 nt
Filed under: Gallus gallus (chicken)
Lineage: Eukaryota; Metazoa; Chordata; Aves; Galliformes; Phasianidae
Description: lncRNA (ENSGALG00010006255.1)
Source: RNAcentral